AGUGAACGCUGGCGGUAGGCCUAACACAUGCAAGUCGAACGGCAGCACAGUAAGAGCUUGCUCCUACGGGUGGCGAGUGGCGGACGGUUGAGGAAUACAUCGGAAUCUACUUUGUCGCGGGGGAUAACGUAGGGAAACUUACGCUAAUACCGCAUACGAAUUACGGGUGAAAGCAGCGGUUCUACGGACCUUUCGCGACCAUAUGAGCGGAUGUCGGAUUAGCUAGGUGGCGGGGUAAAGUCCCACAAAGGCGACGAUCCGUAGCAGGUCUGAGAGGAUGAGCAGCCGCACUGGGAGGGAGACACGGUCCAGACUGAUACGGGAGGCAGCAGUGCGGAUUAUUGGGCAAAGAGUGCAAACCUGUUCCAGCCGUACCGAGUGUGUGAAGAAGGACUUCGGGGUGUAAAGCCCUGUUAUUAGGAAUGAAAAGCGGCGGGUGAAUAGACGAAUGUUCUGACGGCACCAAAAGAAUAAGCCCCGGCUAACUACGUG
Molecule: ribosomal RNA, 492 nt
Filed under: uncultured bacterium
Lineage: Bacteria
Description: partial 16S ribosomal RNA
Rfam family: Bacterial small subunit ribosomal RNA
Source: RNAcentral